RNAcentral lists this ribosomal RNA (619 nucleotides) under Pholiotina dentatomarginata. RNAcentral's name for it is "eukaryotic LSU rRNA". The stretch from base 256 to 409 matches the Rfam family "5.8S ribosomal RNA". The record is from RNAcentral. Lineage: Eukaryota; Fungi; Basidiomycota; Agaricomycetes; Agaricales; Bolbitiaceae.
CUUGACGAGUUGAUGCUGGCUCUCUAGGGAGCAUGUGCUCACUUGUUAUUUUUAUAUUUCCACCUGUGCACCUUUUGUAGUUCUGGGAUAUUUUCAAAGUCAAAGCUUUAUUAGUUUUGACUGUGUUAUGGGGGCUGCUGUGCUGCAUAAGCCAGCUUUCCUUUACAUUUCCCAGAUCUAUGUUCUUCAUAUAUACACCAUGUAUGUUAUAGAAUGAAUUUCAAGGCCUUAAAAAAGCCUAUAUAAACAAUAUACAACUUUCAGCAACGGAUCUCUUGGCUCUCGCAUCGAUGAAGAACGCAGCGAAAUGCGAUAAGUAAUGUGAAUUGCAGAAUUCAGUGAAUCAUCGAAUCUUUGAACGCACCUUGCGCUCCUUGGUAUUCCGAGGAGCAUGCCUGUUUGAGUGUCAUUAAAUCAUCAAACUUAGCAAUUUUAUUAUUGAUAAGUUUGGACUUGGAAGUGCUGUUGGCUCUGGUCAACUCUUCUUAAAUGUAUUAGCCGGAAGCUCUUGUAACCGUCUAUUGGUGUGAUAAUUAUCUAUACCAUUGGCUGCUGCACUUAGUAUGAGCAUUCGCUUCUAACCGUCUACAUGCAGACAAUUUUGACCAUUUGACCUCAA